UACGAAGGGGGCUAGCGUUGCUCGGAAUCACUGGGCGUAAAGGGUGCGUAGGCGGGUCUUUAAGUCAGGGGUGAAAUCCUGGAGCUCAACUCCAGAACUGCCUUUGAUACUUAGGAUCUUGAGUUCGGGAGAGGUGAGUGGAACUGCGAGUGUAGAGGUGAAAUUCGUAGAUAUUCGCAAGAACACCAGUGGCGAAGGCGGCUCACUGGCCCGAUACUGACGCUGAGGCACGAAAGCGUGGGGAGCAAACAGG
Molecule: ribosomal RNA, 253 nt
Filed under: uncultured bacterium
Lineage: Bacteria
Description: partial 16S ribosomal RNA
Rfam family: Bacterial small subunit ribosomal RNA
Source: RNAcentral